Molecule: unclassified non-coding RNA, 452 nt
Filed under: Hevea brasiliensis (rubber tree)
Lineage: Eukaryota; Viridiplantae; Streptophyta; Magnoliopsida; Malpighiales; Euphorbiaceae
Source: RNAcentral
UUCUGUUCUAUUUUCUCACACAAGGAAUUCUAAGUGUGGACUUAGAAUCUUCUUCCUUUUUCAAUUUCCAGGUAAAUUGCCUUUUGUUAAACCCUAAUUAAUAGUCUCAACUUUUUCAAAUAUCGUUCAUGAAUACUGUUCACAAUACCAAACCUCCAGUGCAAACACCUCCUGAAAUCUGUCCCUUUUUUUGUUUUAUUUUGCUUCUAAUUGUACUCACAAAUUGGAGUUGUCUUUUUAUUCUUUAUAAUUUGCAGAUCAACUCAAACCAGUAUACUCUGUCCUAAAUAGUUCAUCUUGCUAGAAAUCCUACAUCUUUCAAGGUGUUUUUAAUCCAAUUGGAAACUUAUAACGUGACUAUGAUUAAUUAAAUACACUUAACAUGGAGAAUAAUUUGUAUGUUAACUGUAGAUGUGUGCUAUGAUCUUCGAUCAACUUUCUUAUUUGCUUGA